CUGUCAAAGCAGUCGGAUACUUCUUGUAUAACCACUCUCGACCCUUUGUAGUUUUCUUUCUCUGAUCAAACUUGAUAGGUAUGGGUGCAGCAACCUGCAUUGACAUCAUCCUCGCCAUACUCUUACCACCUCUUGGUGUCUUCCUUAGGUUUGGCUGUCAUGUAAGUUUUUCUCUUUCGCGUCCGUUAUUUUAUAGAUGUUGUACGUCAUACAAACACAUAUUACAUACUAAAAUUGUUUGACUGUGGAUAGCCCAUCAUACAAACACGUCUCGCAUAGUAACACUGCUUGAAUCAUCAUAGUUGUGGAAUUCAUAGAUGUAAUGUUCAUCGAUGCCCUAAUAUGUGUAUGGUCUGUGUUUAUGUGUGUCUUGAAACAGAAUUUUCAUGCAGUUAUUUUUAUGAGGAAUUUUGAUGUUUACAUGUGGUGGUUUUGAUGAUUUGCAGUCGGAGUUUUGGAUCUGUUUGCUGCUGACUGUGCUUGGUUACAUCCCUGGUAUUUUAUAUGCCCUCUAUAUCAUCACCAAGUGAUCCUUUCAAUUUGUGUAAUGUAAGCACCAACUUCUCUAUCAAUCAAUAUUUCUUGUUUUAAUUUUAUUUAUUUAUUUAUUUAUUAUUAUUAUUAUAGUGAAGGUGUGAUAUUAAUUGAUGAUCGAAUGAAUACGUAAAAAGAGGGUAAAGUGCUUUAAAAUGGGGCCUUGAAAUUUUUGUUUUUUCAUCGGGCUUGUUUUGAUUUGGAUAUUUCAUUCAUCCGAAUAUCUUAAUCUUUUGAGAAAAUUAGAGCAGACUUUGGCUCAAUUAGAGCUUUGGUAUUUGAAGUAAAAAUCUGCAAGUUUAGGUUCCUGAAUUUCUUAUAAUGUGGAGCAAUGGUUUUUUUUUUCUAACUCUAUUAGAACUUUUAUCCAAAAUAAAGGGUUUAAAGACGCAAAAAAUGUGUGGAGGUUCUAACGGAUUUAGCCAAUAUGACUGUUGCUCCACAUUAUUACAAAUUCAGAUUUUAACACCAACGAAUUUUUAGUUUAUGAAUCAAAGUUCUAGUUAAGUUAAAAUUAAGAGAUUAUUACUCUAAUUAUCUCUAAUAUUUUUAAAGGAAUAAAACUUCGUCAUUAAGCAAAUAUGCCUUUCCUUGGUUUAUCAACCCUACUAUCAUAUAGUUCGACAGAGAAAAUGAUUUGGGUCUAAUUGAAAAUGACCUGCACUAAUUUAUAUAUCGCCAUCCACCAAUACUUACGUGGUAUAUCUAUGCUUUAACAAAGCAGGAUUGGUGACUCGUAUUGCAUUCUGAUCCUUUUAAUGUUUUUUAUUGGACAGGUAGUUAAAGGGUGUGUGUGAAGGGCAGCUAUGUCUUUUUGUUUAUGUAUCAAGGGUUUGUUUUCAACCGUUUAAUGGAUUGGUCUUAAUCUGGUGUAGCCAAAUGGAUGGUUGAUCUCAUUCAUGUAGCGUGUAUUUAGUGCAAACGUUCAUUGUUUUUUCCUUUUAUUUUGAUUUGAAUAAAAGACUCAGAUUUGACUAUUCCCAGCACUUACUCAACGCAUUUGUUCUAAGUAAAUUAAAAAAUAUAUAUAUUUGUCAAAAAAAAAAUAUUUAUAUAAAAAAUUAAAUAAAAAAUAUUUUUACCAAAAAAAUUAUAAAAAAAAACUUUGCGUGAUGCAGUUUCUGUUGUCGCGCAGAGUCCUUUUGAGGACUCAGGUGUUGUCAUCAUCGCGCAAAGGCCUUGUGUGCAACGUAUGUUAUCCCUUUGUCGCGCAAACCUUGUUUUCACGGAUUUUGCGCGACAGUUUGCAUGUAAUGAAGAUGUCGACUAAUUUUUAAGCAACGUUUUUUGACUUUGCGCGACGAAGGUACCUGUGUCGCAUAAACUAUUUUUUGUACUGGUAACGUCAUCCCUCACAUCUUCCGCCUAAUCCUUGCCAUCCCAUCCCUCGAGCGACGGUGUUGACUACGUUUUGUGAGUGGGUGGUCUUGAGGUUUUCUCGGUGGAGGACGACAGUCUCGUCGUGGGACUAGCAGAGAGGAAGGAGGCGGUGAGAUGAAGGUGGGGUUGGGUUCGGAUGGGUUUACUGGGAUUGGGUUAGCCUGGGUUGUCGGGUUUGUGGUGGAGGAGGAGGCUACAAGAGAGAGGGAGGGUUGAAGAGAGGAAGGCUACGGGAGAGAAAGGGUAGAUAGUGAAAUUAAUGAAAAAAAAAGAGGUAUUGUUGUCCAAAAAGUUAUAAUUUUGUGUUCCAUGAGCUAGAACAAGUCGUUGGGAGGGUGGCACAAAAAUUUGACUAAAAGCCUUUCCAUGGGACCGUGCAUCCCAGACAAAUUGGCGCACGGUGGGACGAGUGUAUCUCAUCCUACUGCGUUCCGUCUCAUCUCACGUACUAAACGGCACUUUAAUGCUCUAAAUUAAUGUAUUGAAACGCAUCGGUAACUAUAAACUCGUUUUUGUGUGAGUCUCUAGUUUGGAUCAUAACGGGCGAUGACAUGAGUUUGAGAGUUGCAAAAUAUCAAACAAUAGUUACAAUACCAUAGCAGAGCUUGUCAUGGGUUUCUCAUUUUAUCCUUUCAUAAAAUACUAUACUUUUCCAAACUAUAAACGCAUCCGUAAUUCGAAUGUGAAAAUUCAAAGAAUUCCUUAAUUAAAAAAAUUAAGAAACUUUGCAAUGACAUAAUUAUUCGGAUCAAUCUUGCUGUUGCAAAGGCAUUUUAGAACUAAAUUUCAAUUCUUUCAACGGUAUAAAUAAGUAGAGAUUGACAACUUGGAUAAUAAGAGAAGAGAAUUGCAUAAUUAUGAAUAGAAAUGCUUAGGAGACUCUCUUAAAGAUGAAAUUUUUCAUAGACUUUGUGACAGCUUAUGUUUUUUUAAUACAAUAUUUUUAAUGUUAACAUGAAAAUUAACAUUAAACUAUGAGAUGAUAUAAAAUUCAAAAAAAAAUCCCACUUUCAAUAGUUUUCCAUUGCAUUUCUCUAAAAGUCAGAACUAUCUAUCUUUAGAUUGAAGGAACCUCUCAAAAAGAUAUUUUACCAUGCAUCGUGGAGGGUCCUUAUCAAGAACAAAGUUAAAAAACAUGUCGGCACGCUCAAAUUACGCAAGGCACAAGAAGCACAUUGGAAACUAACACGUGUCACGAUUAGUGGCGAAGCUACGUGGGCGAGGAGUGGCGGCCGCCCCUCCCUCGCUGGAAAUCAAGCCUAGGAACGGUGGUUUCGUCCCUCCGGUCUUGUCGAAAGUGAUGAAAUUUCAUGUGAUUUUUCAGGCCUUUUGGGUUUCCCUGCUCUAUGGCAGCACAUGAUGAUCGUGAGCUCUCUUUUUUUUUCCAAAAAAGAAAAUACAUUUAGGCCAAAGAAAGGAGGAAUGAAAAGCUGUAGUUUGCAGCUUCUAGAAAUAGAGAGGUUCUGGACGAAAAAGAAGAGAAAGGAAGAAGAGAGAGACUUUCUCUCUCCCAUCCCACCCCACGUGCCCUUUCAUAAUUACAAUUUGUUUUUUUUUUAACUAUUGACCAAAUUUGUUUUGUUUUUUAAUUAUUAUCCAAUUAAUUUUAAGAAAAAACUAAUGAAAAGAGCUUGAAAACUUUGAGUUUUAAUGAUAAAGACAAAAUAAAGGGUAAAGUGAAUAGUACCAGAAUUGACUUUUUAGUGUAAAAAUAUGGUUUUUCGUUAAAGUAAACAGUACCGGGUGUUUUUUGUUAAAGUUCCCUUAAUUUUAUCACUCUUCCAAUAUUUUUUAAAUCACUUCUUUGACAUUGUUAUUUAUCUUAAAAUUCACUAUAAAUUUAUACCAGCUUCAAAAAAUAAUUUGUAAAAUACUACGAACUCGUAGUUAUUUGUUUUUUUUUUCUCUUACCAUCAAAUUCAACAAAGUAAUAAAGAAAAUUUGUCAAGAUUUUUAUAUUAUAUGUUUUAUAAUCAAUGUUUUUCGAAUAUUAUAUGGUAUAUAAUAAAUAGACAAUUAUUUAUACUGUAUAUAAUAACUUUAUUCAAAUUUGUCUAGGUCCUUGCCUAAGUGUAAAGUCAUGUCCACCGUACGACUAGAAUUGAGCAUCUUUUAAAACUUUGUUAAUUAUAUAGUUAAGUAAUAGGACGAUACAACAAGAAACAGUGCUAAAUCAUCCUUCAAAUAAUAUUGUUUUUCAAACCCUCCUUCGACUAUUUUGAGUAGUCCAAGUCCUCUUUUGAAUAUUUCGGUUAGUGCAAAUUCUCCUAUGAAUAUUACGGGUAAUUCAAAUAAUCUUCUUGGAAAUCCUGGACUUAGACCUUGAAUGAAUGUUCACAUUUUUUCAGGACUCUAAACUUUUUAAAUUUCGUCCCUUCUCAUAAGAAUUUCUAGCUUCGCCAGUGGUCACAAUCACCAAUUUAUGGGGCCACGGGUCAGCUGUCUCCAAAUGUAUGUCUCAUUUGUGUUUCCUCUCUAUCUUUUUGACAUGUGUACAACUCCUUAACUUAAAAUUAACAUUGUUAACUUUUAUCAAAUUAAAAAAAAAACAAUAAAAAGAGAUAACAAAGGACCUAGCAGAUGUCGAAGUCCACGCAAGAUAACUCCCGCGCAGCCGUCACCGGCGGUAACCCCACUCGGGCCACUCCUACUCAUUGCCGCCAAAGCCUCCCCUCGAAUCCUCCCUCUCUCUCUCUCUCUCUUGCUCCAGGAUUCAGAUAUCCAUCUUCCCCAUUCAAUAUCCACAACCAAAUCAAACUUCUGUACGCAUAUUUUUCUAGGUCGAAUCUAUUGAUAAUUUGUCAUAAGAAUAAUAUCUCAGAUUGGGGAAGAAUCUGGGUUUUGUUGAAAAUCCCAAUAGAAUAUCUUCUGUGAAAAUUUUAAAAAAUCUUGAAAAUAAUUAAAGAAAUUGGGGAUGGUAGGCUAUAAUGGUUAUAUAUGAAAGUGAACCCACCGAGUGGGGAAAGGAAACUCCAAAAAUAAAAAUAAUAAUCAGUGGAGUGGGUUCACCGGAGAGAGAAAGAGUAAAAGAGUCUUCGCCGGCAGUGAGGGGAAGCGUCGCCGACGACUAUGGGGUGGUGUGGUUCUGUGUGUGACCAUCGGGCUAAGUUUGGCUGCUGUUGGCUUUUGGUUUUCUUUAAUUAUCAGUUUUUAUUUUUUAUUUUUAAUUCUUCUUUUAAAAGGUUAACACUGUUAAGUUUAGGGUUAAGUUGAUGACAGAUGUCAAAAAUUAAAAAAUGAGACACAUAAAUAUGGAGACAGCACAACUGUGGCCCAUUUAUGGAAAGGCAUAAUCCGUUUUCUAAUAAAAUUGUUUACGUGUACCCAGUGGUUAGCCUCCACGUGGCUCCUUCAGCAGCAGAAGUUGCAGCUCUAUAUAACCACCCUCUACUCCUUGCAGUUUCUGUCAAAGCAGUCCGAUACUUCUUGUUGUUUAACCACUCUCUACCCUUUGUUGUUUUCUUUCUCUGAUCAAACUUGAUAAGUAUGGGUACAGCAACCUGCAUCGACAUCAUCAUCGCCAUCCUCUUGCCACCUCUUGGUGUCUUCCUCAGGUUUGGCUGUCAUGUAAGUUUUUCUCUUUCGCGUCCGUUAUUUUAUAUAUGUUGUCUGUCAUACAAACACGUAUUACAUACUAAAAUUGCUUGACUGUGGAAAGUCCAUCAUACGAACACGUCUCACAUACUAACACUGCUUGAAUAAUCAUAGUAGUGGAAUUCAUAGAUGUAAAGUUCAUCGUUUCCCUAAUUUGUGUAUGGUCUGUGUUUUUGUGUCUUGAAACAGAAUUUUCGUGCAGUUGUUUUUAUGAGGAAUUUUGAUGUUUAUAUGUGGUGGUUUUGAUGAUUUGCAGUCGGAAUUUUGGAUCUGUUUGGUGCUGACUCUGUUCGGUUACCUCCCUGGUAUUAUAUAUGCCAUCUAUGCCAUCACCAAGUGAUCCUUUCAAUUUGUGUAAGCACCAACUUCUCUAAAUCAAUAUUCAUUGAUCAUCGAAGGAAUAAAAUUAGAAGAUUAUUGCUCUAUAAUUAUCUCUAAUAUUUUUAUGAAGGAAUAAAACUUCCUCAUUAAGCAAAUAUACCUUUCUUUGGUUUAUCAACCCGGACUGGGAUCACCUCCGGAUCCCAACCUUCAGAGCAAAUUGAGCAAAACAUCCCAUCCUCCAAUUUUUUAUCUUGUGGUCAGAAAUAAAUUUAAAUAUUGAAAAAUUAUCACGCAAAACAAGGUAAGAUGAAAAUAGAAGGAUGAUUUGUUUUGCUCAUGUCGCUCCGAAGGCUGGGAUCCGGAGAUGAUCCCAAUCCUCCUAUCAACCCUACUAUGAUUUGGGUCUACUUGAAAAUGACCUGCACUAAUUUAUAUGUUGUCAUCCACCAAUAAUUAUGUGGUAUAUGCUUUAACAAAGAAGGAUUAGCGACUCGUACUACAUUCUGAUCCUUUUAAUGUUUUUUAUUGGACAGGUAGGUAAAGGAUGUGUGUGGAGGGCGUCUACGUCUUUUUGUUUAUGUAUCAAGGGUUUGUUUUCAACCGUUUGAUGGAUUGGUCUUAUCUGGUGUAGCCAAAUGGAUGGUUGAUCUCAUUCAUGUAGCGUGUAUUUGGUGCAAUUGUUCCUUGUUUUUUACUCUCAUUUUGAUUUGAAUAAAAUGACUCAGAUUUGUCCCAGCA
This 6570-nucleotide long non-coding RNA is filed under the name Malus domestica (apple). RNAcentral describes it as "long non-coding RNA (MDOM_LNC004106)". Lineage: Eukaryota; Viridiplantae; Streptophyta; Magnoliopsida; Rosales; Rosaceae. The record is from RNAcentral.